RNAcentral lists this microRNA precursor (200 nucleotides) under Dichanthelium oligosanthes. RNAcentral describes it as "MIR1435 microRNA precursor family". It matches the Rfam family "MIR1435 microRNA precursor family". Lineage: Eukaryota; Viridiplantae; Streptophyta; Magnoliopsida; Poales; Poaceae. The record is from Rfam by way of RNAcentral.
UUGAUUUGUCCUAAGUCAAACUUGUCAAACUUUGACCAAAUUUAUAGAAAAAUAUAGCAACAACUAUAGUACCAAAUAUAUGUAGUAUCAAAAUGUAUUCCAUGGUGGAUUCAAUGGAACAAAUUUAGUAUUGUAGAUGUUGUUAUAUUUUUCUAUAAACUUGGUGAAGCAUGGACAAUUAGGACUUAAGACAAACUAAA